CUCCAGGAAGCCCCCCAGGGCUGGGGGUUGCAGGGACUGGUGUCACUCUGCUGCUUUCCCUCCCCAUCCCUGUCCCCAUCCCUGUCCCCAUCCCUGUCCCCAACAGGUCCCCAGCCAUGUGGGUGCAGCCCCCCCACAGCCCCCCAGCCCCCAGAUCUCUCUGACCCCAGUGGGAUUUGGGCUCAGGGCUCCGGGCUGCGCUCAGCUCCCUGCCCUCCCCUGCCAGGCACUGGCCGGGCGGUAAUUAAGCUAAUUGAAACUGAGCCAUUGAUUCUGGUGGCUGGACGCCCGGUGUCUCCUCCAGGGGGGAAGCGCUGCCUGUCCCCAGCCACCAGCCAGGGGGGGACCUGCUCCUGGCCCCUGGUGCAAGGCGCGAGGGGGCACCCAGCCGAGCCCCAGCCUCCUGCUCCCCCCCUGCCUGGACAACCCCCCCCCGGCCACAAACACGAGCAACCCACAGCCCGCUUCUCCCGUCCAGGCUCGUGCAGGCGCUGCAGCCCCCGGCCCCCUGACCCUGCCCGUGUGGGGGCACGGGAGGUGCCAUGGGUGUCCCCCCAGCAUGGCACAGCUCAGGGCUUGGUUUGGGGUAAUGGGGCUGGGCUGGUGGUGGCCGGGCUGCUCCCAACCCUGGGGACAGCAGGGGACAUCCAGGGGACAUCCAGGGGACACCCCUCGCAGGGGACCCCCCUGGCAGGGCACUGGGGCUGGGCGGGGGCCAGGCAGGGUGCUCGUGCCCCCAGCCCCCGGCUGCAGCCCUGCGGCGCGGUUUCGCUGCUGUUUUUCCGUCUCUGCAGUAAUCCAGCAACAAACCAGCGGAAGAAUCCGGCGUGCCACCGAAAUCCCCCGGGGAGACGCCAGCAGAGCCCGGGGCCGCGGUGCCGGCUGCUCGCCCAGGGCCGGGGGCUGCUCUGCUCUGCUCGGGGGGCUGCGGACGCGGCUCUGCCCCAUGGGGGCUGCCUGGGUGCCCGACACCCUCUAGGCUGUGCCAUGUGCCCUGUCCCCAGCCCCAUGCCAGCCCCGUCCUGUCCCCGUCCCCGUCCCCACCGACACAUGAUCAGGUGCUGCUGCAAAUCCUCCUGUGCUGGCCGUGUUUGAAGCCUUUGUGUCCUGGUGAUGCAGAAGAAUCCGAGCGAUUCGGAGCACGCAGGGCCCCUCGGCACCAGGAGGCCUCAAGGGGGGAGCGGGGCACGGAGGGGGCACCGGACCCCCGCCUUGGGGUGAGACCCCGGCCGGGGCAGCCCUGGGGUGCUCGGGCUCCUCGCCCUGCCCCAGCUCGGCAGCGGGGCCGCUGCAGGCACCCAGACCCGCUGAGCCCCCCCCCGGGGUCCC
Molecule: long non-coding RNA, 1329 nt
Filed under: Anas platyrhynchos platyrhynchos (common mallard)
Lineage: Eukaryota; Metazoa; Chordata; Aves; Anseriformes; Anatidae
Description: lncRNA (ENSAPLG00000027558.1)
Source: RNAcentral